Molecule: ribosomal RNA, 253 nt
Filed under: uncultured bacterium
Lineage: Bacteria
Description: partial 16S ribosomal RNA
Rfam family: Bacterial small subunit ribosomal RNA
Source: RNAcentral
UACGGGGGGGGUAAGCGUUGUUCGGAAUUACUGGGCGUAAAGGGCUCGUAGGCGGCCAACUAAGUCAGACGUGAAAUCCCUCAGCUUAACUGGGGAACUGCGUCUGAUACUGGAUGGCUUGGAUUCGGGAGAGGAAUGCGGAAUUCCAGGUGUAGCGGUGAAAUGCGUAGAUAUCUGGAGGAACACCGGUGGCGAAGGCGGCAUUCUGGACCGAUACUGACGCUGAGGCGCGAAAGCGUGGGGAGCAAACAGG